UCAGUUGUUUCUUGUGUGAGGAAUGGCCAGAUUCGGGAGAUGGUUUUUCAGGUGAAUGCGGCAGGAUUUGGUGAGGGACUGGAUGUGAGGGAUGAAGGAGAGAGUCAAGUGUGAAACCAAGGCAGUGAUCUUGGUCUGUCGGUUGAAUAGUGGAAUUGUUGUCUUGCAAUACGAUCUAUGAUGCAAUUCCAGAAAGACAGCUGGUGAGGUGAGUUAGAAGAGAGUGUGAAAGGUCGGGAGAGGAGAUAAAGAUUAGGGUGGCAUUGAUAACCAAAAGAAGAUCUGAGUUGUCCAACUGAAGAGGCGUAGAUAGAGAAGAGUAGAGGCCCAUGAACUGAGCCAUAAGGAACACCAACAGUGGUAGAGGGGAGGAACACGUUACAGCGAAGGAGACACUAAAAGUACGGUGAGAGAGGUAGGAUUUAUUCUAGAAAGUAAAGAGAAAUGGCCUUUUGUUUUAUUAGUGAGGAGGUCAUAAUUUUAGUCUCUCUGGAAUUCUGUGCACAGAAACCAGAUUGUAGAAGGCAAAGCAGAGAGCUUGUGGAGAGAAAUGUAGUUAAUUGAUUAUAAGUUAUAAUCGUUUCAGCUGUUUGGAUGCCAA
Spea bombifrons (plains spadefoot toad) is the source of this 601-nucleotide long non-coding RNA. RefSeq lists it as uncharacterized. NCBI's taxonomy places the organism in Eukaryota, Metazoa, Chordata, Amphibia, Anura, Pelobatidae. The record is from RefSeq and is a predicted model, not a curated record. The transcript has 2 exons.